This 842-nucleotide long non-coding RNA is filed under the name Gossypium barbadense (sea-island cotton). RNAcentral describes it as "long non-coding RNA (GBAR_LNC009010)". The record is from RNAcentral. Lineage: Eukaryota; Viridiplantae; Streptophyta; Magnoliopsida; Malvales; Malvaceae.
AGAGAAAAGGCUUUAAAAAUACCUUAAAACAAUAUUGCACAUCUCAUUAGUACCAGUGCACAACCUACCCCCCUCAUCCAUAAGACUAUGCACAUAAUUAAUCCUAUGACACUUGAGCAUGAAAGUAUUUUGAAUUAGCAUCCCCCUACUUCAUCCAAAAAACCUUUGGUCGAUGUUUCCAAUAAAUAGAUUCUUAAGCAAGUAGUUUAUUUAACUCAAAUCGCAACUCUGAAAACUACACAUUACCAGGUUGUUAGAUAUACAUAUCAUCAAUAUGCGUUUUAAGUAGGAAAUUCGACCUCCAAAAUUACAGCUCAACUCCUUCCACAUUAACAAAUUUGAACCUAGAAACGAAAGCUUGGUGAAAACAUCCGAUGACUGGCACAUAUUAUAACUCGAAGCCAUAACAUCAUAAAAAUCACUUUCAGCCAGCCAAGUAUUUUCAAAUUGAAAAACACUUUGGACGUCGAGCCUGCACGAAAUCACUAGCUACAAGCAUGAUUGGGUUAUGGCCAUAAGUUGACCCAACUAAAUUCAAUAGUUUAUGAAACGAAAACAUACCCAACCAUCUAGAUGUCAUAAAGGCUUGAUCCAACCGUUCCAUCACCAGAUUGCCAAAGCUCCUUCCAUGCUCCUACGUAUACCCAAACCCUAAAAAAAGAAUCUCAGAUAAUUAACAAUCAGAAAUACAGUCAUAAAACUCACCAAACAAUGCAAAGGAUAAACGAAACCACCCCAUUUAUCAUCAGUAGACAAAAAAUUAUUAUAAUCGCCGAUACAAACCUUAAGGCGAAUAAGACCGGGAAGCUAAAGAACAAAGAAGGUUACAACUUGCACUUCUA